Non-coding RNA from Acanthosepion pharaonis, 107 nucleotides. The record is from the annotation of a GenBank genome assembly. Lineage: Eukaryota; Metazoa; Mollusca; Cephalopoda; Sepiida; Sepiidae.
AGAUCAUUAUUGAAACACCACUUCCAGUAUGAUCAUUGAAGUUAAGCAAUAUCAAGCCUGGUCAGUUCCUAGAUGGGUGACCGCUUGGGAAUACCAAAUGCUGUAUG